RNAcentral lists this ribosomal RNA (253 nucleotides) under uncultured bacterium. Its description in RNAcentral is "partial 16S ribosomal RNA". It matches the Rfam family "Bacterial small subunit ribosomal RNA", at positions 524 to 776 of the family's 1533-position model. The record is from RNAcentral.
UACAGAGGUCUCAAGCGUUGUUCGGAUUCAUUGGGCGUAAAGGGUGCGUAGGCGGCGCGGUAAGUCGGGUGUGAAAUCUCGGAGCUUAACUCCGAAACUGCAUUCGAUACUGCCGUGCUUGAGGACUGGAGAGGAGACUGGAAUUUACGGUGUAGCGGUGAAAUGCGUAGAUAUCGUAAGGAAGACCAGUGGCGAAGGCGGGUCUCUGGGCCGAUAUUGACGCUGAGGAGCGAAAGCGUGGGGAGCAAACAGG